UCCUGCAUGGAAAGGCCCCAUCAGCCCGGCCCGGCCCAGGGGGAGCGGGAGAUCCUGCUUGGAAAGGCCCCGUCAGUCCAGCGGGUUCUGCCGCCCCCUGAGGGAAGCGCCCCUGCCCUGAGGCGCUUCCCGCCCGCCCUCACGGCCCGAGGCGGUCAGCGCAGACUCAAUUUCUUUCUGCUCAGUCUGAUGAGUGAAUUGCCUAGCCAUGGUGUAAAGUCACUGAGAGGACAAAGACCUUGAUUCAUCUUCCUUGGAGACACAUCCUUCACCCCUCAGCUUUGACCUCUUGUCUGAAAGCUUGUCAGUUCAGGAUUAAUAGUAAGCAAGACUUGGUUUUAUGUUGGAAAUUAACCUUGAGUUACUAAUUGGUCUCCAUUUCAAACAAUUCCUUUGUUAGGAAUGAACCUGUGCUGUGAUCCCAGUAAGUGACAGGUAAAAACAAGCAGACACAUCUUGAAAUACCACAAAGCUGACCUAGUAGGAGAGCUCCCUUUUAAGACAGCUUCCCCAAAAAGGGUUAAUGGCAGAUUUAAUUAUUUUCCUAACUACAGCCAAAAAGACAAUUCAAACCGGGUGCAGCCAAUGACAGUUACUAUGGCAGAAGAGGGCUGCAGGUGGAAAGACUGGAGUGCCUUUUCAGUUCUGGACUUGGAAAGUUCUAAGUACAACAUGGAAGAGAGAGGGUCAGGAGGAUGGUCUUUCAACACAAGUCAGAAAUCACAGAAGACGUUGGACUUUAUUUUUUCUCACUAUUCCUUCACUUCAGGAGGGAGAGUACCCUUGAGUCAGGGAGAAGCCAAAUGGAGAGCAGGCUGGACAGGCUCUAGACCAGUGAAAAAUGGCUCAAGGAAUUCCCUUUAAAUGUGCAGAAGGUCUGCUGCUUUUUCACUUACGUCAUUAAGGAGACAGAAGCCCUCCUUUUCAUCAGUUGCACUGAAGACCUCAGAAGAGCUUUUAUUUUGUUGUCAUUUUCCUGUCUGAAUCCUGAUCUAGAAAAGUUCUGUCCCAGUCCAAAGGUCCUGGUUUACCUCUCUGCUAUGCUCUGCUACUGUAGGAUGGAAGAUCCUGCUCCUUUCCCAGAGGUAUUCCAGCUGGAUUCGUUUUACUUUUGCUUUUUGUUUUUGUGGUUGGUUGAUUUUUAAACAGAUUGUAGAGAAAAGAGGGACUUCCAGCUUGGUUCUGUACUCUUGACUGAGGUGUGUCUGAUCCGGUACUGGACCUUUCCAUCAAGAAAAUAUGGCCUGUGGUGCUGGACUCUGCUCUGACUGUGCUCUGUCUGGCUUUUAGCAGAAAGCAGAGGUACUGGCACCAUGUGGAUCAGCCUGGCUCUGCUCGCCCUUCCCCCUUGCCAGCCUGCUAUUUCUGUACUUGAUUGGAAGAAGCUAAAACUGCUGGAUUUUUGCCGGCACUCAAGACAUUCCUCAAGUUCCUAAUCCAGGCUCCAGAUGGUUAAAUCACCCAUCCUGACAUACAGGAACAAAUAAUUAUAGUACAAGAUGUAAACCCCACACCAGCCCCUCACGGUGAGACUCUGGGACAGAGAAGUCGCCUGCAGAGAGCCCCGAUGAACCGGCACGUCUGGUCCCCACGGCGGGCAGGAGGGCAGGGCUGGAAGCGGCUGGAAGGGGCUUCCCGGUGCCGGCCACGGCCGAGCCUCCGCGGGUCGCCCAGUGGGAGGCGGUGCCGGCCAUGGGCAGGGGCCACCUGGCGCUGCUCCCCGCGCCGCUGCCCAGCCCGCAUCCUCGGACGUGCCGCAGCUCCGGG
Non-coding RNA from Cyanistes caeruleus (blue tit), 1767 nucleotides. The record is from RefSeq and is a predicted model, not a curated record. NCBI's taxonomy places the organism in Eukaryota, Metazoa, Chordata, Aves, Passeriformes, Paridae.